CCAAUAGCGUAUAUUAAAGUUGUUGCAGUUAAAAAGCUCGUAGUUGAAUUUCGGGAUUGACGUGAUGGUCAUGCCUUAAGGGGUAUGAACUGUUGCUGUUGAUUUCUCACCUUCUGGAGAAACUUGAUGUCCUUUAUUGGGUGUCUUGCGGAUCCAGGACCUUUACCUUGACAAAAUUAGAGUGUUUAAAGCAGGCAUUUUUGCUCGAAUACAUUAGCAUGGAAUAAUAGAAUAGGACGGCAUGGUUCUAUUUUGUUGGUUUCUAGGAUCACCGUAAUGAUUAAUAGGGAUAGUUGGGGGCAUUAGUAUUCAAUUGUCAGAGGUGAAAUUCUUGGAUUUAUUGAAGACUAACUACUGCGAAAGCAUUUGCCAAGGAUGUUUUCAUUAAUCAAGAACGAAAGUUAGGGGAUCGAAGACGAUCAGAUACCGUCGUAGUCUUAACCAUAAACUAUGCCGACUAGGAAUCAGACGAUGUUAAUUUUUUAAUGACUCGUUUGGCACCUUACG
This 507-nucleotide unclassified non-coding RNA is filed under the name uncultured Entrophospora. RNAcentral describes it as "SSU rRNA". It matches the Rfam family "Eukaryotic small subunit ribosomal RNA", at positions 591 to 1092 of the family's 1831-position model. The record is from RNAcentral. Lineage: Eukaryota; Fungi; Glomeromycota; Glomeromycetes; Entrophosporales; Entrophosporaceae.